CUUUUUCUUUUGUCUUUUCAUUUUCUUCCUUUCAAUUUUCUCUCCUUCUCUUCGCUACAAACCCCCCACCCUCCUUCUAGAACGCACCACGUCCACACCCUCUCUCUAGGUUAGCCUGGUUGGCUCUUGGGAUGGUCCCUCUGUAAGCAAAUUUUCAUAUCCAACACCCACCCUCUCUCUCUCUCUCUCUCUCUCUCCUUUGCUCUGUUACAAAGAUUUCCGCUCUAACUCACCAAUCGCGGCAGAAUGUUCCAAUCUUCGGUAGGAGGUAGUGGACGAUGCACAUCAGCACCCUACCAUAGUGGGAGGAAUGGCUUGAAGAGGUAUGUCUGGCCAUCUCUUUUAUUCUCGAUUUCAUCUUCUUUCCUACUUAGGGCUUUGAUUUCGUCAUGGUUUCUGAUCUCUGAAUUGAUUUUUCGUUGGUCUUCAUCAACAGAAGAGAAAAGGUAUAUGAUUUGCCAGAGUAUUGUACAUUAUGGAGUUGGCCCAAAAAAAAAAAAAAAUGAUCAUUGGUUUACCAUGAUUAUAAACUAAUUAAAUGGAUUGAUUUCUUGAAGUAUUGUUUUUAUUAAACCAUAUGUUUUGGUGACAUUGAGGAUUAUUGUUAAUUGGAUUGUAACAAAGUAUUUAUAAUUAUUAAAGUUAUGGCAUAUCAUGCUAUAUUUGGAUUAA
Molecule: long non-coding RNA, 672 nt
Organism: Malania oleifera
Lineage: Eukaryota; Viridiplantae; Streptophyta; Magnoliopsida; Santalales; Ximeniaceae
Exons: 3
Source: RefSeq, a predicted model, not a curated record